CAGAGGGGGCAAGCGUUGUUCGGAAUUACUGGGCGUAAAGGGCGCGUAGGCGGCCUGUUAAGUCGAACGUGAAAUCCCUGGGCUCAACCCAGGAACUGCGUCCGAUACUGGCAGGCUUGAAUUCGGGAGAGGGAUGUGGAAUUCCAGGUGUAGCGGUGAAAUGCGUAGAUAUCUGGAGGAACACCGGUGGCGAAGGCGGCAUCCUGGACCGAUAUUGACGCUGAGGCGCGAAAGCCAGGGGAGCAAACGGGAUU
RNAcentral lists this ribosomal RNA (254 nucleotides) under uncultured bacterium. RNAcentral describes it as "partial 16S ribosomal RNA". It matches the Rfam family "Bacterial small subunit ribosomal RNA", at positions 526 to 779 of the family's 1533-position model. The record is from RNAcentral.